UGGUGUUGCGCCUGCGCUAUAGACCUCCCUGCCGGAAGUGGGCGGACCGCGUUCCAAAGCCUAAAGGGCGGAGGGAGAAAGCGCGGCAAAGAUCUGUGUUGCUGAAUGGAACGCUGAAUCCGGACACUGCCUCAGGUGCCCUGCUGCAGAACUACUGAGCCUAGAAAUGUAAAGACCAGAAUAUGGUCAGAGAGAACUUACUUUUCGAUUUUAAAAAGAAGACUUAAGGAGUCAAAGAGAUAUUUGAAUGCCUAUAUGCCCAGUUGGAGAACAAGUAUUCUGGCCAAAAACAAAAAACCAGAGUAUGUUCUCAACCACAGAAACGUUCGUCCCUAGUCAGGAAACCAUUAGGAAGAUACAUUAAAUAAGAGCCGGAAAAGAAAGAAAUCUGCAUCAAGGGGAUGAGGCAGAAGGUGACUUUUGGACCACAGUGACCCGGUUAAACAGGGAGAAGCUGGAAAACUCUAAGAACGUCUCAAGCUGAGAGAGAGAUUGAGAGCAUGCAAGCAAGCGAGGAAGGGGCAGAGAAAGAGGGAG
Herpailurus yagouaroundi (jaguarundi) is the source of this 537-nucleotide long non-coding RNA. RefSeq lists it as uncharacterized. NCBI's taxonomy places the organism in Eukaryota, Metazoa, Chordata, Mammalia, Carnivora, Felidae. The record is from RefSeq and is a predicted model, not a curated record. The transcript has 4 exons.